This 269-nucleotide unclassified non-coding RNA is filed under the name Hevea brasiliensis (rubber tree). The record is from RNAcentral. Lineage: Eukaryota; Viridiplantae; Streptophyta; Magnoliopsida; Malpighiales; Euphorbiaceae.
AUGAAGUGUGUUUUUCUUCCAAUUAUUUAUCAUGGCUAAGGAUACAACAUCUGAUUUUAUUCCUUUUAUGAGUACAUCUCAAGUUAUUCAUAUACAUAACCCAGCCAUUUAAGCCCUAAAUGAUAAACCCACCUAGCUAGUUCUUCCCAUAACGAGCCUUGUAUUCAUUCCACAACUGAUCAACAGGCUUUCCCAGCAACUCAACAAAGAAUUCAUCACUAUAAGUAUCUCUCAUCUUCUUGUUCAGUUCUGCAACAAACCCAUUUCUA